This is a non-coding RNA of Triticum aestivum (bread wheat), 134 nucleotides long. Lineage: Eukaryota; Viridiplantae; Streptophyta; Magnoliopsida; Poales; Poaceae. The record is from Rfam.
GUAGUACUCCCUCCGUCCGGAAAUACUUAUCAUCAAAAUGAAUAAAAGGAGAUGUAUCUAGAUGUAUUUUAGUUCUAGAUACACCCCUUUUGUCCAUUUUAAUGACAAGUUUUUUCGGACGGAGGGAGUAUAAG